GGCUGCCUCGUUUUACACUGGAGGAGACGUAUGACCUGAACACAGUCCUGAGCAGCAUGAGCAUGGUGGACGCCUUUGAUCACACAAAGUGUGACUUCUCUGAAACCCUCCAAGAGCACAUGAUCUUCUUGUAUAGAGAUAAGACAUCAAGCAGCAGCCUUUUUUCUCAGUCAUGGACGGCAGAGAGAAGAGAGCGCUUCACUUCUUGAUCUUCGCUGCUUAUCUCGUGGUCUCAUCUUCACCUUCUGCAGGUCUGAUCAGAUUAGCUGGAUCUGGGUCCACUCAGUGCUCUGGAAGAGUUGAAAUCUAUAACUCUUACUCUUACCCUUACUAUUCCUGGGA
Oreochromis niloticus (Nile tilapia) is the source of this 342-nucleotide long non-coding RNA. RefSeq lists it as uncharacterized. The record is from RefSeq and is a predicted model, not a curated record. The transcript has 4 exons. NCBI's taxonomy places the organism in Eukaryota, Metazoa, Chordata, Actinopteri, Cichliformes, Cichlidae.